Long non-coding RNA from Leopardus geoffroyi (Geoffroy's cat), 131 nucleotides. RefSeq lists it as uncharacterized. The transcript has 3 exons. Lineage: Eukaryota; Metazoa; Chordata; Mammalia; Carnivora; Felidae. The record is from RefSeq and is a predicted model, not a curated record.
GACGCUCUUCGGAUCUGGGGGGUGCAAGGACCAAAGGGAAGCAGGUGGUCGUGGAGGAACCUCAAGCCCCGGGCUGAGCAGCGAGUCGUCUAAGGUUAGUUUUGAAUAGGGUCAAGGUAGUAAAGCCCUGG